Molecule: ribosomal RNA, 802 nt
Filed under: Halobacterium salinarum
Lineage: Archaea; Methanobacteriati; Methanobacteriota; Halobacteria; Halobacteriales; Halobacteriaceae
Description: bacterial SSU rRNA
Rfam family: Archaeal small subunit ribosomal RNA
Source: RNAcentral
GUGCGGGUUUAGACCCGCAGCGGAAAGCUCAGUAACACGUGGCCAAGCUACCCUGUGGACGGGAAUACUCUCGGGAAACUGAGGCUAAUCCCCGAUAACGCUUUGCUCCUGGAAGGGGCAAAGCCGGAAACGCUCCGGCGCCACAGGAUGCGGCUGCGGUCGAUUAGGUAGACGGUGGGGUAACGGCCCACCGUGCCCAUAAUCGGUACGGGUUGUGAGAGCAAGAGCCCGGAGACGGAAUCUGAGACAAGAUUCCGGGCCCUACGGGGCGCAGCAGGCGCGAAACCUUUACACUGUACGAAAGUGCGAUAAGGGGACUCCGAGUGUGAAGGCAUAGAGCCUUCACUUUUGUACACCGUAAGGUGGUGCACGAAUAAGGACUGGGCAAGACCGGUGCCAGCCGCCGCGGUAAUACCGGCAGUCCGAGUGAUGGCCGAUCUUAUUGGGCCUAAAGCGUCCGUAGCUGGCUGAACAAGUCCGUUGGGAAAUCUGUCCGCUUAACGGGCAGGCGUCCAGCGGAAACUGUUCAGCUUGGGACCGGAAGACCUGAGGGGUACGUCUGGGGUAGGAGUGAAAUCCUGUAAUCCUGGACGGACCGCCGGUGGCGAAAGCGCCUCAGGAGAACGGAUCCGACAGUGAGGGACGAAAGCUAGGGUCUCGAACCGGAUUAGAUACCCGGGUAGUCCUAGCUGUAAACGAUGUCCGCUAGGUGGUGGCGCAGGCUACGAGCCUGCGCUGUGCCGUAGGGAAGCCGAGAAGCGGACCGCCUGGGAAGUACGUCUGCAAGGAUGAAACUUAAAGG